UCCUAUUUAAGAAGAAAAAUCAUAUUACUUUCUUAAUCUUUCUAAUUCUAUUCUCAUAAGAUGGUCUUGGAUUUGUUCCUUUAGCACAGGCUCUUUAGUGCAGUCCUGAUUUCUGUAUUAAUGAAUUGAGAAGAUGACAUCAGGCUCUUAGGCAUCCACAUUUGGAAGCAAUGACCUGUGUAGGAAACAAUUUCUGUGGUGAAACUGGAAACCAGGAUCAGACUUAAUAACUAUUCAUCAAGCAGGUAAACCACAUUCCUGUAUGUUGAUUUCCUGUUAUUCAACUGGUAGGCAGAACUUUCUGAGAUGGAAGUUGUGGUAGUUUAAGAGAAAGUAAAAUGGGGUCACAUUAAUCAUGGCCUCUGACGUUUUCACUCAAGUGCAUGAAGGAGGCUGAGCAAGAAUUUCUGACAUAACCAUCACUCUGACUUUGGCUCGAGUGGGUUGUCAUGAUCAAAUGACUUCUUUUGCCUGGUAUGUGCUCUUCUGCUUUUUACAUCCUUGAUAUCCCAGUUUAUACAUGUGCACAUGCUGUCUUCCUCCAGGACACCACAACCCAUAGUGAUAAUUGCACUGCUGAAGCUACCCGCUGUGUUAAAGGUCAGCAGAAGGGCCUCAGCGGUGAAGUGGCACUUGCCUAUCAAAAUGCAAAAUACUGGGGUGAAAGAAGUAAAACUCAGCUAUUAUAUGUUACAAAACUUGAGACAUUCAAAGUCGAGUAUAUCAUUCUCAUGUUCCAAUACCCAGAGAAGAAUGUCACAGCAUGACUCCAUCCUCGUGAUGGAGACUGAAAGAAGAAUGAAAAAUAAUGCAAAGUUAUCUCCUUUUUGUUAAAUCUAUUGUAAUCUUGUGUUCUUCCUCUGUUACUACACUGCAAUAAAGACAUUUUAAUCCCAGGGUACAACUGAGAAAAGCCCUGAUCUAAUAAUUGUAAAACCUCCCGAUCCGAUAUUUUAGAACUCAGAGUACUUGUCACUUAUGAAUAUUCAUACAGACCACUAAAAGAAUUAUAUUCUGUCUGCAGUUAAGGCAGGAAAAGAACAUGGUAAAUUCUAAAGAGACAGCAGUAUUUUAUGGAACACUUGUCAAAUAUUAAGGGCAUCCACAACAAAAUUCUUGCAGGAAAAUUGUUCAGGAGGAGUGUAUAGAAUAGUGAUAACAUCAUUAUGGAAUAGAUCUUUUAGAGGCAAAAAAAAAAACCACAGGAAUUCUUUUCAAGUAUUAGAAACAUUGGAAUUCUUCAAGGUAACCUGUUAAUGUGCAUGUUCAUGAGGGAGGAUCCAUGCUUCUCAGCUAAGACAUUGAAUGUAAAAGGCUCAUACAAACUUUGCAAAAUAAACUAGAAAACCAAAUUGAACACUUUUUUUUUUUUUUUAAUGGAACACAAGUUUUUAAUUGAAGAAGAAAUUUGCCCCCAGAAAGCAAACCCAUUUUACAACAUUUUACAGUGAAGGUUAGUUAAAAAUGUGCAAUAUUUUGCAGUGGUUCAUAUCUCUUCUUUUGUGAUUAAGUUAACUGCAGAAUUUCUUCAUAGUAAAUUAUUAAAUGUUUAACAAGAUUCUUUUCCAGUGCCUUCUGACAAGUCAGUGUUUAUAUAUAAAAAGGUCUAAUCUCAUCCUGGCAAGAAAUGGACUUGUUCUCGCAGCAGAUGUACUAACCCAAGAAGAUACUUAGCAAGCUGGUUUGGUGGACUGAUUUUCAUCUGAAAAGUGGGAGACUUCUUGUGCUUACAAUAUUCCUGGAAGAAAUGAAAGUGGUGUUUUAUGAAUUCUUCCAUUAGUAAACAACUUAAAAAUAAAGGUAAGGUAAUGUUGAGACCUCUAAAACCAGAGGCUGAUGGUGGUGUACCGGCUACCAUGGUGAUGCUGAAAGGAAGGGAAUGCUCUCACUUCCUCUCUGUCAUUUCUCUUCCUUUCAUCCCUUUGACCCUUCCUCCUGGCCAGACAGUGAUCCCCACCUUCUAUGAUUGUCCCUCUGAAUCUACAUUGGUGGGGUUUCUUCCUCCACUUCUCAUUCAUACACCAGGUAUCCCUGCUUGCCGUGUAUCCUUUGUGUGCAUAAUACUCUAUUCUUUCAUUGACUAAAUGAAAUCAGAUUCCUGCUCCCAUGUGAUGUCACAUGUCCCUGCUCAGCCAGUCCCACCCAGGACCAUCAGCAGGUGCAGACGCUUUUCUGCUUAGCUGAGUCUACAAUCUGAGCUGCUGAACUUUCUAGACUUAUGGGAAUGGAGUAUGCAACUCAUCUUUCAGGUGACGUGUGUAAGGCAAAAAGCAAUACUGACACGCUGCGGUGCAAGAGCAAAAAGCUGUUUUUAAAAUUCUGGAGGGGAAGAGGAGGCACAAGAAACUUUGUAAAGCUCUGGAGCAACAUGUGAAGAAAUCUGCCUUCAUUCUUCUCUCCUUCCAUAUAAACACUGAGUUUUCUGUACGUGUGUUUGGACCAAAUGACUGAAACAGUCUGUGGGAAUCAGUGCUUCAAACAAGAUGGCAUUCUUGCUCAACUCUUUGUUCCCCUUCUAUGAGAUGAUGAACUAGGGAUAUGCUGACAAAGUGUCUGGAGACCUUUGGGAACAAAGCUGAGGAAAAUGGAGAAAAAUUAUUCGAUUAUGUGUAUUUUUUUCAGAUUUUUUUAAAAAUUAUUUUCAAUACCUCUUCUAGUGAAGAUUUAACAGAGUUGAUGAUGGUUCCACACACCUUUUUGUGAGAAGACUUGUAGUUCAUAAAAA
Cyanistes caeruleus (blue tit) is the source of this 2725-nucleotide non-coding RNA. Lineage: Eukaryota; Metazoa; Chordata; Aves; Passeriformes; Paridae. The record is from RefSeq and is a predicted model, not a curated record.